This 762-nucleotide ribosomal RNA is filed under the name Triticum aestivum (bread wheat). Its description in RNAcentral is "partial small subunit ribosomal RNA". Lineage: Eukaryota; Viridiplantae; Streptophyta; Magnoliopsida; Poales; Poaceae. The record is from RNAcentral.
GCCGCGCGUCCAUCCACCAGGGCCUAUCUAUCUAUAUAAACGACCGGGCACGCGCCUCAACUCAACCAUCUCACACAAAGUCCCAAAGCAAUUUGGAAGCAUCAUCCAUCCUAGCUAGGCUCCUGGUAGCUUACUUAAGCAAGGAAGAAGAAGAAGCAGCAGCAGCAGCAGCUCAAGAAGAGUUGAGGAGAGGAGGAGCUGAUAAGAAAUGGCGUCCAUGAUGGGAGGAGACUUCGUGGAGGCCUACGUGCUCAAGAACGCCUACAAGGAGAAGAUGAAGCGCAUGGACCAAGUGGAAGCUGCGGCAGCGGCGCCCGGCAGCGCAAAGAGCGGCAAGGACAAGGAGGCUGCCGGCGCCGCUGGAGAGAAGAAGGCUGCUGGUGGUGGUGGUGCGAGCAGCAGGGGAGGCUUCUUUGGCCUCAUGAAGAAGAAGGUGCACCCCAAACCCAAAGCGGCGGCGGCGCCCACUUCCUCUUGAUUAUAUUGCUACUGUAUUUGCCAUGCCACGAAAUUGUAAGCCGCAGCUGGUAGAACUGGCCGCAGCUUUCUUCUAGCUAGGAGCGUGCGUGUGUGUAAGUUUGUUCUUUCGAUCAGCUUCUCUUGGAGGAGUGUGUAAAGCAAGUUCUUUUGUUAAUUGGUCAAAACAAGUUGACAGAAAUUAAGUCAAGGAUAAUCCUUCAUUAGUUGGGUUGACUUCCGUUUUUACCUGUCUGCACUAUGAGAUGUUUGGCUAUCAGUACAGACAUGUGGCUGUUUGGUUCC